RNAcentral lists this long non-coding RNA (1843 nucleotides) under Oryza sativa (Asian cultivated rice). RNAcentral's name for it is "long non-coding RNA (OSAT_LNC000177)". Lineage: Eukaryota; Viridiplantae; Streptophyta; Magnoliopsida; Poales; Poaceae. The record is from RNAcentral.
CAUACAAAACAAGUCUAUUUAAUUAGCAAAAAUUCCCAAGACUCUUGUAUGAUGAUGGUCCACCGAUGUGUAGAUGAAAUAAUUCAACCAACAAGCGACCACCUUCAACAUGCAACUCUUCAUGUCCAGGAUAGCAUCAGUAGCUCUAACAAAAAGCUAGCCAUUUGUACUCUCCUGUUCAACCAAUACAAAUUGUUGGCCAAAAGUAAUGAAACGGAAACAGGCACUGAUCAUCUAGAAUAGAACUGUAUUCAUCGCAUUAUUUACCUCAUUUAAGUUGUUGAAGAAGUUGACAUGACUAAGGGAUUUACAUUGACUUGUUGUCCAUCUCGAGAAUUAGCAAGUAAUUCAGUCAACUUUUCCACUUCCUCACCAAGUGACUCAAUUUUUCUAAUAGCAGUUCUAACAAAAAUCUAGCAAUUCUGUAAAACAACAGAAAAGUAAAAGAUUGCGUCUGAGAAGAGGGUGAAAUGGCUUUCUCUUUUCAUUUGCAUUAACAAUUAUUCCAUUUAUACCUGAUCUAACAGGAGAAACAUAUGUUGGAUCAAUAGUAAUGUUUGUGCCGCCACCUAAAUCAGGACAUUGGUCUACAUAUUCAAUUUCAUUGUCAGGUUAAAUUGUGCCUAGGAAGGUCCAUCCAUCUCCUAUCCAAAGCUGAUAUUGACAAUCAAAUUUCAGAGGCCACUUAAAAUUAGUUUGUUUCAGUGGUGUUUUUUGUGCGUGAAGUACAAGUACUCACCAGUGUGCCCAUGGGAAAAAGAUAAAAAACAUUGCACAAGAAAAAUAUAACAUGAGGAUAUAACAUUUCAGCCUUUUAGCACAGUACUCAUGGCAAGCAGGAGGAUACUAACGGUUGUACAUUUGUUGUUCGGGACUUCUGUUCGGUAGAUGCUCAGCAACGUACACCUUGGAUGAUAUCUAGGUUGAUUGCAGCAAAAUCGGUAGUGGACGACUAAACUGCACCAUAGAGCCAAAUAGUUCAAACUUGGAAAUAGAUUAUAAUGUCACUUAAAAUAAAUAUUUGACCAAACAGGCUCAACAUAUACUGUUUCUCACACAUGUCUAGCUCAACAAUAUAACUGACCAAACAGGCUCAGAGACAAGAUUCCUCCACAUAAAAAAAGUUGGUUUGCACACUGCUGCAUAUGCAACAUUGACAUUGCAAUGCUAUAUAUCCAAAGCCUCUAAUUAUCUAUCCCUGAUGAUGAACUCUGCAAUUUUUUGUGAGCAGGACGAUAAUAAUAAGUGUAUCAUGGUACUACUAGGAAGAAAAGUGACAGACUGACAAUGCAUAGGAUCUAACUGUCACAGCCAAGCAGGUAGAUAAUCUCUCGUUCGCUAUUUUCUCCUUGUUUAUUUUGUCCAUUCAUUCACUUAUAAUUUAACACAUGAAACAAUCCAUACAUACAUGCAUACAUUCACUCAUUUCAGACCAAACAAAUCAUGGAUCUGGUAUAACAGGGAGAUUUUUUACCUGAACAAGUGGAUAUCCGUGGUCAUUCCUUGAUCUCAAUGCAGAGGGUGGUGGUGAACUGGUGAAGAAGGAAAAGGGCAGAAAAGCAUCUGAGGAGGAAGAAGACGAGGCGGAUGCGGGUAGGCAGCAUCGGAGGAGGACGGUGGAGGCGGUAGCAACGGAGAAGUAGAGGAGGAGGACGAGGAGUGGACGCCGGCGCAUGGAGUCGAGGGUUUCGGAGGUGGAACGGAUGGAGUCGAGGCUUUGGUGCGGAGGCGAGGGGCGCAGGAGGAGGAAUCGGUGGCCGCGUAGAGGAGUGGAGCUCGUCGGGGAGAGAGUGCGGCUGCGGGCCUGCGGCGGCGAUGGGGAGGCGUUGGGCAGCGACAGCGG